Molecule: ribosomal RNA, 1848 nt
Filed under: Pseudomonas sp. NFPP08
Lineage: Bacteria; Pseudomonadati; Pseudomonadota; Gammaproteobacteria; Pseudomonadales; Pseudomonadaceae
Description: bacterial LSU rRNA
Rfam family: Bacterial large subunit ribosomal RNA
Source: RNAcentral
CCAUCAUAAGAUGGUUAUCUUGUACUGAAUACAUAGGUGCAAGAGGCGAACCAGGGGAACUGAAACAUCUAAGUACCCUGAGGAAAAGAAAUCAACCGAGAUUCCCUUAGUAGUGGCGAGCGAACGGGGACUAGCCCUUAAGUGGCUUUGAGAUUAGCGGAACGCUCUGGAAAGUGCGGCCAUAGUGGGUGAUAGCCCUGUACGCGAAAAUCUCUUAGUCAUGAAAUCGAGUAGGACGGGGCACGAGAAACCUUGUCUGAAUAUGGGGGGACCAUCCUCCAAGGCUAAAUACUACUGACUGACCGAUAGUGAACUAGUACCGUGAGGGAAAGGCGAAAAGAACCCCGGAGAGGGGAGUGAAAUAGAUCCUGAAACCGUAUGCGUACAAGCAGUGGGAGCAGACUUUGUUCUGUGACUGCGUACCUUUUGUAUAAUGGGUCAGCGACUUAUUUUCAGUGGCAAGCUUAACCGAAUAGGGGAGGCGUAGCGAAAGCGAGUCUUAAUAGGGCGUCUAGUCGCUGGGAAUAGACCCGAAACCGGGCGAUCUAUCCAUGGGCAGGUUGAAGGUUAGGUAACACUGACUGGAGGACCGAACCGACUACCGUUGAAAAGUUAGCGGAUGACCUGUGGAUCGGAGUGAAAGGCUAAUCAAGCUCGGAGAUAGCUGGUUCUCCUCGAAAGCUAUUUAGGUAGCGCCUCAUGUAUCACUGUAGGGGGUAGAGCACUGUUUCGGCUAGGGGGUCAUCCCGACUUACCAAACCGAUGCAAACUCCGAAUACCUACAAGUGCCGAGCAUGGGAGACACACGGCGGGUGCUAACGUCCGUCGUGAAAAGGGAAACAACCCAGACCGUCAGCUAAGGUCCCAAAGUUAUGGUUAAGUGGGAAACGAUGUGGGAAGGCUUAGACAGCUAGGAGGUUGGCUUAGAAGCAGCCACCCUUUAAAGAAAGCGUAAUAGCUCACUAGUCGAGUCGGCCUGCGCGGAAGAUGUAACGGGGCUCAAACCAUACACCGAAGCUACGGGUAUCACGUAAGUGAUGCGGUAGAGGAGCGUUCUGUAAGCCUGUGAAGGUGAGUUGAGAAGCUUGCUGGAGGUAUCAGAAGUGCGAAUGCUGACAUGAGUAACGACAAUGGGUGUGAAAAACACCCACGCCGAAAGACCAAGGUUUCCUGCGCAACGUUAAUCGACGCAGGGUUAGUCGGUCCCUAAGGCGAGGCUGAAAAGCGUAGUCGAUGGAAAACAGGUUAAUAUUCCUGUACUUCUAGUUAUUGCGAUGGAGGGACGGAGAAGGCUAGGCCAGCUUGGCGUUGGUUGUCCAAGUUUAAGGUGGUAGGCUGGAAUCUUAGGUAAAUCCGGGGUUCUAAGGCCGAGAGCUGAUGACGAGUUACCUUUUAGGUGACGAAGUGGUUGAUGCCAUGCUUCCAAGAAAAGCUUCUAAGCUUCAGAUAACUAGGAACCGUACCCCAAACCGACACAGGUGGUUGGGUAGAGAAUACCAAGGCGCUUGAGAGAACUCGGGUGAAGGAACUAGGCAAAAUGGCACCGUAACUUCGGGAGAAGGUGCGCCGGUGAGGGUGAAGGACUUGCUCCGUAAGCUCAUGCCGGUCGAAGAUACCAGGCCGCUGCGACUGUUUAUUAAAAACACAGCACUCUGCAAACACGAAAGUGGACGUAUAGGGUGUGACGCCUGCCCGGUGCCGGAAGGUUAAUUGAUGGGGUUAGCUAACGCGAAGCUCUUGAUCGAAGCCCCGGUAAACGGCGGCCGUAACUAUAACGGUCCUAAGGUAGCGAAAUUCCUUGUCGGGUAAGUUCCGACCUGCACGAAUGGCGUAACGAUGGCGGCGCUG